RNAcentral lists this ribosomal RNA (477 nucleotides) under uncultured bacterium. Its description in RNAcentral is "SSU rRNA". It matches the Rfam family "Bacterial small subunit ribosomal RNA", at positions 1 to 477 of the family's 1533-position model. The record is from RNAcentral.
UCGGCUUAGAGUUUGAUCCUGGCUCAGAUUGAACGCUGGCGGCAUGCUUUACACAUGCAAGUCGAACGGCAGCACGGGUGCUUGCACCUGGUGGCGAGUGGCGAACGGGUGAGUAAUGCACCGGAACGUACCCAGUAAUGGGGGAUAACACAUCGAAAGAUGUGCUAAUACCGCAUACGCCCUGAGGGGGAAAGCGGGGGAUCGCAAGACCUCGCGUUAUUGGAGCGGCCGAUGCCGGAUUAGCUAGUUGGUGGGGUAAAGGCCCACCAAGGCGACGAUCCGUAGCUGGCCUGAGAGGACGACCAGCCACACUGGGACUGAGACACGGCCCAGACUCCUACGGGAGGCAGCAGUGGGGAAUUUUGGACAAUGGGCGCAAGCCUGAUCCAGCCAUGCCGCGUGAGUGAAGAAGGCCUUCGGGUUGUAAAGCUCUUUCGCAAGGAAAGAAAACUUAGCCACUAAUACUGGCUGAGGAUG